GUCUCAGUGGCGCAAUUGGUUAGCGCGUUCGACUGUUAAUCGAGAGGUUGAAAGUUCAAGCCUUUCCUGGGACG
This 74-nucleotide transfer RNA is filed under the name Aspergillus alliaceus. It matches the Rfam family "tRNA". Rfam says of the family: Transfer RNA (tRNA) molecules are approximately 80 nucleotides in length. Their secondary structure includes four short double-helical elements and three loops (D, anti-codon, and T loops). Lineage: Eukaryota; Fungi; Ascomycota; Eurotiomycetes; Eurotiales; Aspergillaceae. The record is from Rfam by way of RNAcentral.